UAGGGAAUCUUCCGCAAUGGACGCAAGUCUGACGGAGCAACGCCGCGUGAGUGAAGAAGGUUUUCGGAUCGUAAAGCUCUGUUGUUAAGGAAGAACGAGUGUGAGAAUGGAAAGUUCAUACUGUGACGGUACUUAACCAGAAAGGGACGGCUAACUACGUGCCAGCAGCCGCGGUAAUACGUAGGUCACGAGCGUUGUCCGGAUUUAUUGGGCGUAAAGCGAGCGCAGGCGGUUAGAUAAGUCUGAAGUUAAAGGCAGUGGCUCAACCAUUGUAGGCUUUGGAAACUGUUUAACUUGAGUGCAGAAGGGGAGAGUGGAAUUCCAUGUGUAACGGUGAAAUGCGUAGAUAUAUGGAGGAACACCGGUGGCGAAAGCGGCUCUCUGGUCUGUAACUGACGCUGAGGCUAGAAAGCGUGGGGAGCGAACAGG
This 429-nucleotide ribosomal RNA is filed under the name Bacteroidota bacterium. Its description in RNAcentral is "Bacteroidetes bacterium partial 16S ribosomal RNA". It matches the Rfam family "Bacterial small subunit ribosomal RNA", at positions 355 to 776 of the family's 1533-position model. The record is from RNAcentral. Lineage: Bacteria; Pseudomonadati; Bacteroidota.